Molecule: long non-coding RNA, 5354 nt
Organism: Pan troglodytes (chimpanzee)
Lineage: Eukaryota; Metazoa; Chordata; Mammalia; Primates; Hominidae
Exons: 3
Source: RefSeq, a predicted model, not a curated record
GUGGACAUAACCGCAGUAUAUAAAUGAUGCUGAAAAGAAAUCUGGUGUUUUCAGGUUCCUGUACUGACCUGUCAAGGUAGUCGCAUCCCGGCGUAGAGGACUAGGAAUCGGGAGUCACUGGCCGUAUGCUGGAGGCUGGAGACGCGGGAGCGUGGCUUGCCUCGCUGCGGUUGUUGGCAGCGAUGGAGAUGGCGCGGCUGGAGAGGUAGAAGAAGGAAAACAGUUUUGGGAUAGUUGGAGCAGGUCCCGGCAACUCUUGUAAUACUGGGCUGCGGAGAUCAGGCCCUGUCUGAAGUCCCCUGAGUGGCUCUUGAACUCGCUGAAGCGGGCCUCGUCGCUCUGCAGGAAGUCCCUGAUGGACUGGAUGAGCUGAAGUUUCCUCUCCCGGAAGUUCUCGGCGACUAGAAAGAAUGGAGGCUCAGAGCACGGCCAACAUAAAUUAUGGCAGUAAGAGAUUAUGGAGGGAGAGAAGAGGCCUGUCUCACAAAGGGGAGUCCUGUUAUGUAGAUGAUGAAACCUCACAGGUUGCAACUCUCGGAGAGAAUACAUGGUAAGAGUUUCCUUCAGACCUUUAAAGAUGUUGGAUUCUCAGUUAAUCUUUUUUAGAUCUGGAUAAGAGAGGGCCUCAGAGGAGGCCUGGCUGCACCGUGCAGAUUCUGCACAGAUGCAAAGUUUCCCAGGAAAGACAGUUUUUCAGGGCUACUUCUGUUUGCAAGCCCUCUGAACAGCCAUCUCAAAAUACAUCAAAGAAGGAUACUUUGGAGUGAAAUAUUUUGGUUUCCUUCACGAUCCUCACUGGAACUCAUGAUAGCCCACAUCCUGGCCCUGAAGUUUUAGGGUGUUAGGUAAUGUAUAUAAACAAAAUAAGCCAAAGGACACCUAAAAACCAAGCAGGCAAUUUCUCAGCAACUUUAUUACUUUUAUAACGGGUUAAUAAUUCUAUGGAGAGCCCUGGAAUUUACUACAAGUUUCUGCCUUUGUUUCUUAUAGAAGCAAAGGGAGUUACCAGUAAGGGAGUAAUAAAUUCCAAGAAUCACUUAAAGAUUGCUUUUAUCCAUGAGAAACAUACCUCAAUAACAUGUGGGGGCCAAGGCAGGGCUUUCCCUUUGACCCUCUCUGAAGUUUCACUGAAAAAUCAACUUGCAAAAGGCAGAUUAAUAGGAGAAAAGCCAUACAAAUUCAUUUAACAUGUAUACAUUGGGGGCCUUCUGAAUGAAGACCCAACUUCCCAGUGAGGUACAGAAGCUUAUAUACCAUUCUGAGGUUAGGAGACAGGAAUAACAAAGGUGGUUGCAGGAGAAUAGAAAAUUCCAGGCAGUGGUUUCACAUGGCUAGCAAAAGGAAACUGUAGAAAUAGCUGCAGAAACUAUGGGCUGAUAAGACCCUAAAAGCCAGGGUGUGGACUAAGCUGGGUGAGACUAACCAGACUCAGUGUGGCACUGGAUUUGACCUAGGUUUCACCUAGAACCUCAUUAUAUGCUCAUUAGCAUACAAAUCACACACCCACCAGCACCAUGACAGUUCCAGGAACAUCCAUAUUUGGUGUGAAAAUGAGUAGCACUACAGUUCCAGAACAUCUCCACCUUUUUCCAGGAAUCUUCAUGAAUAUUCCAUCCCUUAGUUAAAGAAACCCACAAAGGCAGCCGCUCCAAACCCCUUUGCAUGUGACUGUCUCUUGAGUACACCUGCACUCCCCUUUCUUGAGUGUGUACUUUUCACUUUGCAAUACAUUUCCGUACUUGGACUAUUUUCUGACUCAGCCUUGAAUUUAUUCUCACUGGGGUGGAGGUCCCACUAGCAACUGGGGACUUCCCGCAGCCCACUGAUGUCAGUUACAGAAAGAAUGGGAGCUUGGAUCCUGGUAAAACAGGUUAUGGGAGUGGAGAGAAGAAUUCCAUUGAGGGGCAAUAAAUGAUUACUAGAAUGAAUGACUGUAUGGGAAACAGAAAUUAACUUGUAAAUAGUUCUCUUUGGAAUUUAAAUGAUCCCUGGAGCAAGUUAUUAUCUUCUUUUCUGUAAUGGAUAAGGAGAUAACAGGGAAGACAGCAAGAAUAAUUGUUCUCCUUGGUGAGUCUGUCCUACCUGUAUGUAUAGAUAGGAGAAAACCAGUGCUUAUUGAUCUCUAAGGGUUUUUAAUUUAAAAUACUCAUUAUACCAGGGACCUGUAUUUUGGAGUGAAAUACUUUGAAACAACCAAAGGCAGAGAGAUAGUCCCAAAUUAUCGAUGAGAAGAUUAAGUAAAGUGGGCAGAAGAGAAAAAGAUUAUAUGUCUGUAAUACUGCUACCCUUCCAUUACUUCUCACAUCGGGCAGAAUUAAGAUAUUUCCCAAGACUGAGACACUCAUGGAAGGCAGCCAGCCCUCACCACAAAUCUUCAUAAGCUCACUGCAGCUUUCCUGCUGCUACACACAGGCACAUUCUCUCCCCCUCUUCUUUUUUUUCCUUCCUUCCUUCCUUCCUUCCUCCCUCCCUACCUCUCUUCCUCCCUUCCUUCCUUCCUUUCUUCUUUCCUUCCUUUGCUGAGUCAAACUCAAUUGUGUGUUACUUCUACAAACAUUUUGUUAUAAAUAUUUUCAAACAUACACAAAAAUAAAGGAAGUAUAAAAUGAAUCUUCACGUAUUUAUUACCCAGUUUCAAGUAUAAACAUUUUGCCAAUCUUGUUUUAUCUACUCUCCACCCCUUCCUCUCCUCACCAAUGUUUCUCUGGAUCAUUUUAAGGCAAAUUCCAGGUUUUCAGUCUUAAGUGUAUCACGUCUGUCUAAAAAUAAGCACUUAAAAAAAACCUAAUCACAGCACAUUAUCAUACUUUCCCAAAUUAAUAUUUCUUGAUUUCAUCUAAUACCCAGUUUGUUUUAAAAUUUUCUCAAAAAUAACUUUAUGCAGUUGGUGUGUUCAAAUAGGCUCUAUGCAAAGUCUACAUCGUGCAUUUGAUAAAUCUCUUAAGCUCUUUCAAUAUGUGAUACUUCCCCUUCUUCUUUCUGGCUUUCAGGCCAUAUGUUUGGUCUGCUCAAUUUUCCACAGUCUGGAUCUUGAUGAAUUGCAUUCUUAUGGUGUAACUAACACAUUCUUUUGCUUCUUGUAUUUCCUGUAAGCUGAUGUUUACAUUUAGAGGCUUGUUUAGACGCAGGUUUGAAUUUUUUUAGCAUGAAAGUUCCAGUUGCACUGCAGAAUGUCUGCUGAUCCCAGGUUUAGCACUUUUGAGGUUGAUCAGUUAAAAAGUAGCUGUUUGGGAGGCAAAGGGCACAUGUUAGUCGCCUUUGCAUGCCCAUUGUCAAGCACAGCAUUGUGCCUAGAGCAAUCCCUGGCAAUGUUUACUGAGUUGAAGCAGUUGAUGAAACCCAGAUUUGUGAGACUUCAGAUACAAAUCUUCUAUUCUCAGCUGAGAUGCCUAAACUUUAUUAAUUCACAUCUGUAUGUUGUAAAAGUUCUAUUUUAUUUUACGACCUUAGCCAGUUUUGACCAUUUCACCUUGGCUGCGGUUGUUUCUGUUUCAUCUUUUUCUCAUAAAUAGUGUCAACCUUAAAUAAUGAGAUUCAGAAAAUAUGACUAAGGAUAGAGUUUAUUCAAGUGCAAAGCUUGAGGAUAGCCACUCAUGAAGCGUCAGCUCCAAAUGAAUAUGGUCAGCAUUCCCAGGUGGAGAAGUUAAGGUUUCACUUUUACAGACAGAGACAAAGACAUUUUCAGAGGAUUACAACAUUUUCCAAAGGAGACCAGUGCAUACAUUAAAGCAAUUUGAUUGGUCACAGAUUGCUACGUGCCAAGGAAGAUUACUUUAUUACUCAAUGAGGAGGGAUGGUGAUCUGAGGAGGUCUUCUCUCUCGUGCUGUUUGGUCUUCUUAAUUAUUCACAGGGGGAAAAAAAGGCGGAAGUUGCCGCUGCACGUGACUCAGGCUGCAUAGCCACAUUUGUCUCAAGGCUCAGAAUAACUUAAAGUUCCAACAACUUGAAGUUUGAAUUAUUUAAUUUCACAAUAGAAAUUAAAACAAAGAUUUUAACGUUUCUUAAUAAGAAGCCAUCUUCAUACGAAUUGUGAAAUUUUUAAAUUAAAUAUAUUUUUAAAGUUAGUAAUUUACUCAAACGUUGUUUAGACAUUGUUUUAGAAACUGGUAUCUUGAGUGUCUAUGCUUGUCAUCUUUCAUGAUGAAUGGUCCCUGUUUAUUUGCAAAACUUGCCAAUCUGCCAAAGCUUUAUUUGCUGGGAAGUUAGCAUGUCUGGGAAAGUAACACUUUCUUUUUGCUUUAGUAACAUAUAAAUAUUUUUUAAAAAGGAUAUACAUAUUUUUAGGAAAAUAUUCUUAGCAAACCCAAGAUUGAGAUCUAUGAGUUCAUUUUUCCCCUAUUUUUCUACACCUUUAAAAAAAUUCCCCUUUGGAGAUUGAAACAGGAGAAAGGGUAGGGCCCAAUAUCACACAGGGACAAGAAUUGAGCCUGGGAGAGUCUUGUAUUCAGGACCCAAACUGGGUGCAGGGCUGGCUCAUUAGGAGUUGAAAUGCCUCUGCACGAGUCACGGGUGGAAAUAGGUGCAUUCACAUGAACAUGGUUGCAUCAGCUUCAUCCACAGGAGCCCUGAACCCGUCAUUAACCUGUGAUCUGAUUGGAAUCUAUGUACCCUAUGGGUCAAUGUGAAAUUACUUCUCAGGGAGGCAACCACAGCUGAGGGAGUCCACAAGGUAAAAUUUCCACAGAAGAUAAACUCACAUGUAAGAACUGCAAACAACAUACAAGAAUGUCUAGUAUCGUGACAAUAGUAAACCCAGGUCUGCUGCAUACAGACCGUACGAUUGUAGGUGUGUAAUUCACAUUGAUCACAAUUGCACACUCAUACACACACCCCAUGCAAAACCUUACGGUAGGAAUUCUAAAGUGACCUGAUAAAAAUAUUGAAUCCUCAAUUUGAUAAAGUAGAGAAUGACAUUUGUGGAACAAGAACAUUCAAAAUUUUUAAAUGCCAUUAUGGCAAGGGAACAGAUGAGUAUUUUUAAAAAAUCAGAUCUCUGGCCUGGAGUGGUGGCUCACGGGGCCAAGGUGGGUGGAUAACGUGAGGUCAGGAGUUCAAGACAGACCAGGCUGGCCAACAUGGUGAAACCCCAUCUCUACUAAAAAUACAAACAUUAGCUGGGCAUGAUGGCACAUGCCUGUAAUCCCAGCUACUUGGGAGAUUGAGGCUGGAGAAUCACUUGAACCCGGGAGGCAGAGGUUGGAGUGAGCCAAGAUCACGCCAUUGCACUCCAGCCUGGGCAACAAGAGCGAACUUACAUCUCAGAGAAAAAAAAAAAAAAAUCAGAUCUCUUGAUAAUUUAAAAUCUCUGAAUAUAGACUAAAUAGAGGACAUAUCAAGGAGCAAAAUAAUUAGC